ACGCGAAGAACCUUACCUGGGCUCGAAGUGUAGUCGACCGUCUCAGAGAUGAGGCUUUCCCGCAAGGGACGGCUGCAUAGGUGCUGCAUGGCUGUCGUCAGCUCGUGUCGUGAGAUGUUGGGUUAAGUCCCGCAACGAGCGCAACCCUCACCCUUAGUUGCUCGUCCGUAAGGAAAGCACCCUAAGGGAACUGCCUCGGAUAACGGGGAGGAAGGUGGGGAUGACGUCAAGUCCUCAUGGCCUUUAUGUCCAGGGCUACACACGUGCUACAAUGGCCGGUACAAAGCGUCGCGAACCCGCAAGGGGGAGCCAAUCGCAAAAAGCCGGUCUCAGUUCGGAUUGCAGGCUGCAACUCGCCUGCAUGAAGCUGGAAUCGCUAGUAAUCGCGUAUCAGAACGACGCGGUGAAUACGUUCCCGGGCCUUGUA
Molecule: ribosomal RNA, 427 nt
Filed under: uncultured Acidobacterium sp.
Lineage: Bacteria; Pseudomonadati; Acidobacteriota; Terriglobia; Terriglobales; Acidobacteriaceae
Description: bacterial SSU rRNA
Rfam family: Bacterial small subunit ribosomal RNA
Source: RNAcentral